RNAcentral lists this long non-coding RNA (1662 nucleotides) under Helianthus annuus (common sunflower). The record is from RNAcentral. Lineage: Eukaryota; Viridiplantae; Streptophyta; Magnoliopsida; Asterales; Asteraceae.
AUGGAUAAUUUCGGCGGUUCUUGACACGUCCCUGUUUCCUUCCCAAUCCACCUCCCCAUUAAAUCACUUUUCUCCACCACAACCUGGAUUUCUCCCCCGCCACCAAACGAUGGAGGCUGAUGAAGCUCAGAGAUCCGAAGCGGUUAUCGACUGCUAGGGUUCUGCUGCGAACCCGAUGACGGAGGUGAUUUUGGGGUUCUCUCCAACGGCCGAUAUACCCUUGCAUGCACCGUUUUUACCAGAUCGGUCAGAGCUUUGUAAUGGUCGACGAUUCUGCAAGCUUGAAGUGGUUUUCGACGGAGAUAAGUCCCACUGAUUUUGCUGGAGGAUAUCGUCUUGCUGUUCACGGGUGAAGGAUAAGCUCGAGAAAUUGAUGGUUGCUAACAAAGAAUCUGGUAAGAGUAUUGAGAGUUAGGUUCGAACGAGCUCGGGCAUGUUUCUUAACAAAGCUCAGAUACAUGGCAAAGGUAGGAACCAAGAUGAGAGUAUGCUCUACGUGUGGUGGCAGAGGUCAAGUUAUGAGAUCCAAGAUUUGUGAUGAAUUCCCCUCCCAAGAUUUGUGUUGAAUUCCCCUCUUGCUAUAAACUAUAUCAUGAUAACACGGCCACAUACAUAUUGUAAAUUGCGCAACGUGCGACAAUGAGUAACACAAUACAUAUUGUAAAUCGCGCAACGCGCGACAAUGAAUAACCCUAGUUAAUAUAAUUAAGAAGUUGAAAUGAAUAGUCAUUUAAAUAUUAUAAUAAUAUAUAGCUUUUUUUUAAUACUUUUAUUAUUAUAAUAUUAUAAUAUAAUAAUAGUUUUUUUCUUUAUUUUUUAACUAUAAUAUAUUUUUUAAUAUUAGGCGUUGGGAUAAGCUUGGUGUGAACCGGUAUUGAACGGGUAUUUUUUAACUAUAAUAUAUUUUUUUCUUUUUUAGUUUCAGGGGUAGGGAUGGGCUCAGUGUCAACCGAUACAGAAUCGGUACUGAUACCAAAAAUAUCGGUUAAGGUACCGGUAUAUGAAGGUAAAAAACGGUAGUGAACCGGUACACAGAACAAUUUGCUCAUCUCUGACCACAGGUUUCAUGCGAACAACAUCGUUACCAUACAAUUUUUUUGGUUGAUUUUUUUCGGUUAUCUUUUAGUGUUUUUUUCUACAUUUUCUUUUUAUUCUUGUCAGCAAUUCUGUUCGCAACACGCUCGUAGUGAUUUCAAAACACAUCUAAACACAGACUAAAUAAAAAAAGAAAUUCGCCGCAACGCGGCGAACUUCUUUAAACCUAGUUUUAUUAGAAGUAAGGGUAAUUUAGUAAUUUCAUACUAAAUUAACUGAGCAAACUAAUAGAUAUUUACUCAAGGGACUAUCCAAGUAAUAAACGACCAAACCAUAGGAAGUAAGCAUACUAUUUCAAAAAACUGAGGUCUAAAUGUGAAAAAAAGGCAAACCAUAGAGACCAUCCGAGCAAUUAAAUUAACUAUGGAAACAUUAAAGCAGAGUCCCCAACAAAAACAAGCAUAAAGUAACUCUAUUCUGGUGUAUGCUUCUGUUCGUCAAUGUCGCUGGUGGCAGCUGGUUAGUUGGUCGCCAGUUUGCUUAUCAAAUAACCAACCUUAGGUAUUCUCUUUUCCAUACCGAUUACUUUUCAUAAACACCUUGUUCAUUACUGGGUUUGGGUAAUUU